Molecule: ribosomal RNA, 426 nt
Filed under: uncultured bacterium
Lineage: Bacteria
Description: partial 16S ribosomal RNA
Rfam family: Bacterial small subunit ribosomal RNA
Source: RNAcentral
GUGAGGAAUUUUCCGCAAUGGGCGAAAGCCUGACGGAGCAAUGCCGCGUGAAGGAUGAAGGCCUAUGGGUUGUAAACUUCUUUUCUCAGAAAAGAAUUAUGACGGUAUCUGAGGAAUAAGCAUCGGCUAACUCUGUGCCAGCAGCCGCGGUAAGACAGAGGAUGCAAGCGUUAUCCGGAAUGAUUGGGCGUAAAGCGUCUGUAGGUUGUUUAAAAAGUAUUCUGUCAAAGAUUAGGGCUUAACCCUAGAUAGGCAGAAUAAACUUUUAAGCUAGAGUUUGGUAGAGGCAGAGGGAAUUCCCGGUGGAGCGGCGAAAUGCGUAGAUAUCGGGAGGAACACCAAAGGCGAAGGCACUCUGCUGGGCCAAUACUAACACUGAGAGACGAAAGCGAGGGGAGCAAAUGGGAUUAGAAACCCGAGUAGUCC